RNAcentral lists this ribosomal RNA (245 nucleotides) under uncultured bacterium. Its description in RNAcentral is "partial small subunit ribosomal RNA". It matches the Rfam family "Bacterial small subunit ribosomal RNA", at positions 26 to 285 of the family's 1533-position model. The record is from RNAcentral.
AGAAUCAACGCUGGCGGCGUGCCUAACACAUGCAAGUCGAACGAGAAAGUGGAGCAAUCCAUGAGUAAAGUGGCGACCGGGUGAGUAACACGUGACUACCUACCCUUGAGGUGGGGGAUAACCGUCGGGAAACCGAGGCUAGUACCGCAUAAUAUCGAAAGAUCAAAGCAGCAAUGCGCUGGAAGAGGGGGUCGCGGCUGAUUAGCUAGUUGGCGGGUAACGGCCCACCAAGGCGAAGAUCGGUA